UGAGGUGGGGGCUUUUAAGCAGAAACCCCUCUCACUUUGCUAGUGGUUUGUUUGUUUUUUGUUUUCCUUUUUGCCCAGCAGAACCCUGCUCUACUCAUCCUUCAAUGUGCCCACGUGCCUUAAUGUUCCUGGUCGUGUGAAAAGAACCCAGGUUUUAGCGGAACUAAGGAGCAUAAUUCUGCAACAUUUUGGCACCCAAACAUGGGGCUUGAGAAAGGAAUGCAAUUGGAGAAACUGAUUGUUUUACCAGGCUUUGAUUGGAAAGAUUUGCUUCCCUUUAAGUAGUCAAGAUCAACUUGCAGAGCUGAUGAGAGCCCCUUGGGAAAACUGGCAUCACACCUUUGUCUACACAGUCCACAUACAGGGUUCUUAAUCUGUGAUGAGGGAACCUGCCCAGGGCUUGUCUGGGCAUGCCCACAGUGCACUGGAGCCCUGUAUGGGCACUGGGGAAAGUGGGUGGAGCCACUUAUGCAUGGGAGGAGUCUGUUCUCUUCACCUCCUGUGGUAACCUGGUGAAUCAAUCUGUGAGGAAACACUUUCUGAAAAUGUCAACUCUUGAAAACAUGGAUGAGGAAAAGCAUAAGGACUGCUUUAUGCUUGUCUUAUGAAUUUUAAAAGAUGUAUUUUAAAGAUUGAAACUCCCAGAACUUUGACAGACUAUCUCUUCAGAAAACAUUAUUCUUUGACAUCAAUAUGUUUUGCACAAAAUUGAAUGACAAUUGAAAGGCAUCAGACAGAGCUGUCAUUUAAAUGUGCUUGCCAACUAGCUUGUUUAUCAAAACAUUCCAGAUCCUUUCAAAUUCUCAUUUACAUUGCUUCUUGUUUACCACGCCCAUAAAUUUGUAUUAUCAGCAUAUUUAACUAUGGGGCUAUUUUGGAGAUUGAAAAGAGACCUGAUUCAUCAUGUACAAUAUCUCAUACAUCUGUCAUUUC
Molecule: long non-coding RNA, 933 nt
Organism: Cebus imitator (Panamanian white-faced capuchin)
Lineage: Eukaryota; Metazoa; Chordata; Mammalia; Primates; Cebidae
Exons: 6
Source: RefSeq, a predicted model, not a curated record